Molecule: ribosomal RNA, 476 nt
Filed under: uncultured organism
Description: partial 16S ribosomal RNA
Rfam family: Bacterial small subunit ribosomal RNA
Source: RNAcentral
ACACUCCUGCGGGAGGCAGCAGUGGGGAAUUUUGGACAAUGGGCGAAAGCCUGAUCCAGCAAUGCCGCGUGUGUGAAGAAGGCCUUCGGGUUGUAAAGCACUUUUGUCCGGAAAGAAAUCCUUGGCUCUAAUACAGUCGGGGGAUGACGGUACCGGAAGAAUAAGCACCGGCUAACUACGUGCCAGCAGCCGCGGUAAUACGUAGGGUGCGAGCGUUAAUCGGAAUUACUGGGCGUAAAGCGUGCGCAGGCGGUUUGCUAAGACCGAUGUGAAAUCCCCGGGCUCAACCUGGGAACUGCAUUGGUGACUGGCAGGCUAGAGUAUGGCAGAGGGGGGUAGAAUUCCACGUGUAGCAGUGAAAUGCGUAGAGAUGUGGAGGAAUACCGAUGGCGAAGGCAGCCCCCUGGGCCAAUACUGACGCUCAUGCACGAAAGCGUGGGGAGCAAACAGGAUUAGAAACCCCGGUAGUCCCAUGA